AGUGAACGCUGGCGGUAGGCCUAACACAUGCAAGUCGAACGGCAGCACAGUAAGAGCUUGCUCUUACGGGUGGCGAGUGGCGGACGGGUGAGGAAUACAUCGGAAUCUACUUUUUCGUGGGGGAUAACGUAGGGAAACUUGCGCUAAUACCGCAUACGACCUACGGGUGAAAGCAGGGGAUCUUCGGACCUUGCGCGAUUGAAUGAGCCGAUGUCGGAUUAGCUAGUUGGCGGGGUAAAGGCCCACCAAGGCGACGAUCCGUAGCUGGUCUGAGAGGAUGAUCAGCCACACUGGAACUGAGACACGGUCCAGACUCCUACGGGAGGCAGCAGUGGGGAAUAUUGGACAAUGGGCGCAAGCCUGAUCCAGCCAUACCGCGUGGGUGAAGAAGGCCUUCGGGUUGUAAAGCCCUUUUGUUGGGAAAGAAAAGCAGCAGGUUAAUACCCCGCUGUUCUGACGGUACCCAAAGAAUAAGCUCCGGCUAACUUCGUG
RNAcentral lists this ribosomal RNA (492 nucleotides) under uncultured bacterium. RNAcentral's name for it is "partial 16S ribosomal RNA". It matches the Rfam family "Bacterial small subunit ribosomal RNA", at positions 29 to 507 of the family's 1533-position model. The record is from RNAcentral.